Molecule: ribosomal RNA, 1439 nt
Filed under: Klebsiella sp. TPS10
Lineage: Bacteria; Pseudomonadati; Pseudomonadota; Gammaproteobacteria; Enterobacterales; Enterobacteriaceae
Description: bacterial SSU rRNA
Rfam family: Bacterial small subunit ribosomal RNA
Source: RNAcentral
CUGGCGGCGGUCUAACACAUGCAAGUCGAGCGGUAGCACAGAGAGCUUGCUCUCGGGUGACGAGCGGCGGACGGGUGAGUAAUGUCUGGGAAACUGCCUGAUGGAGGGGGAUAACUACUGGAAACGGUAGCUAAUACCGCAUAACGUCGCAAGACCAAAGUGGGGGACCUUCGGGCCUCAUGCCAUCAGAUGUGCCCAGAUGGGAUUAGCUAGUAGGUGGGGUAACGGCUCACCUAGGCGACGAUCCCUAGCUGGUCUGAGAGGAUGACCAGCCACACUGGAACUGAGACACGGUCCAGACUCCUACGGGAGGCAGCAGUGGGGAAUAUUGCACAAUGGGCGCAAGCCUGAUGCAGCCAUGCCGCGUGUAUGAAGAAGGCCUUCGGGUUGUAAAGUACUUUCAGCGGGGAGGAAGGCGAUAAGGUUAAUAACCUUGUCGAUUGACGUUACCGGCGGAAGAAGCACCGGCUAACUCCGUGCCAGCAGCCGCGGUAAUACGGAGGGUGCAAGCGUUAAUCGGAAUUACUGGGCGUAAAGCGCACGCGGGCGGUCUGUCAGUCGGAUGUGAAAUCUCCGAGCUCAACCUGGGAAACUGCAUUCGAAACUGUUAGGGCUAGAGUUCUUGCAAGAGGCGGGUAGAUUUCCAGGUGUACCGGGUGAAUGCCGUAGAUGAUCCUGGAGGAAAUACCUGUGACGAAGGGCGGCUCUCCUGGACAAAGACUGACGCUCAGGUGCGAAAAGUGUGGUGGAGCAAACAGGAUUAGAUACCCUGGUAGUCCCACGCCCGUAAACGAUGUCGAUUUGGAAGGUUGUGCCCUUGAGGCGUGGCUUCCGGAGCUAACGCGUUAAAUCGACCGCCUGGGGAGUACGGCCGCAAGGUUAAAACUCAAAUGAAUUGACGGGGGCCCGCACAAGCGGUGGAGCAUGUGGUUUAAUUCGAUGCAACGCGAAGAACCUUACCUGGUCUUGACAUCCACAGAACUUAGCAGAGAUGCUUUGGUGCCUUCGGGAACUGUGAGACAGGUGCUGCAUGGCUGUCGUCAGCUCGUGUUGUGAAAUGUUGGGUUAAGUCCCGCAACGAGCGCAACCCUUAUCCUUUGUUGCCAGCGGUCCGGCCGGGAACUCAAAGGAGACUGCCAGUGAUAAACUGGAGGAAGGUGGGGAUGACGUCAAGUCAUCAUGGCCCUUACGACCAGGGCUACACACGUGCUACAAUGGCAUAUACAAAGAGAAGCGACCUCGCGAGAGCAAGCGGACCUCAUAAAGUAUGUCGUAGUCCGGAUUGGAGUCUGCAACUCGACUCCAUGAAGUCGGAAUCGCUAGUAAUCGUAGAUCAGAAUGCUACGGUGAAUACGUUCCCGGGCCUUGUACACACCGCCCGUCACACCAUGGGAGUGGGUUGCAAAAGAAGUAGGUAGCUUAACCUUCGGGAGGGCGCU